Molecule: ribosomal RNA, 400 nt
Filed under: phytoplankton environmental sample
Lineage: Eukaryota
Description: partial small subunit ribosomal RNA
Rfam family: Eukaryotic small subunit ribosomal RNA
Source: RNAcentral
AGCUCCAAUAGCGUAUAUUAAAGUUGUUGCAGUUAAAAAGCUCGUAGUUGGAUUUCUGGCGUGCGACGGGCUCCCUUCACUAAGGUGUGGGUGUUGCACGUUGUUGCCAUCUUUGGGUGGAAUCUGUGUGGCAUUAGGUUGUCGUGCAGGGGAUGCCCAUCGUUUACUGUGAAAAAAUUAGAGUGUUCAAAGCAGGCUUACGCCGUUGAAUAUAUUAGCAUGGAAUAAUAAGAUAGGACCUUGGUACUAUUUUGUUGGUUUGCGCACCGAGGUAAUGAUUAACAGGAACAGUUGGGGGUAUUCGUAUUUCAUUGUCAGAGGUGAAAUUCUUGGAUUUUUGAAAGACGAACUACUGCGAAAGCAUUUACCAAGGAUGUUUUCAUUAAUCAAGAACGAAAGU